This 253-nucleotide ribosomal RNA is filed under the name uncultured bacterium. RNAcentral describes it as "partial 16S ribosomal RNA". It matches the Rfam family "Bacterial small subunit ribosomal RNA", at positions 524 to 776 of the family's 1533-position model. The record is from RNAcentral.
UACGUAGGGUGCGAGCGUUGUCCGGAAUUAUUGGGCGUAAAGAGCUCGUAGGCGGUCUGUCGCGUCGGUCGUGAAAACCCGGGGCUCAACUCCGGGCCUGCAGUCGAUACGGGCUGGCUUGAGUGCGGUAGGGGAGACUGGAAUUCCUGGUGUAGCGGUGAAAUGCGCAGAUAUCAGGAGGAACACCGGUGGCGAAGGCGGGUCUCUGGGCCGUAACUGACGCUGAGGAGCGAAAGCGUGGGGAGCGAACAGG